This is a non-coding RNA of Pelobates cultripes (western spadefoot toad), 630 nucleotides long. The record is from the annotation of a GenBank genome assembly. NCBI's taxonomy places the organism in Eukaryota, Metazoa, Chordata, Amphibia, Anura, Pelobatidae.
UGGGGACAUGAGUGUCAGAAAUUGGCCAUGGAGCAUUAGAAGAAGGAUGGCUGAUCUAAUGAUUUACAAAUUCUUUUAGAUCAGAUGGAUAUCCAAGAAUGUAUUUGUCAUUUACUUGGGGAAGAGAUGGCAGCAGAAUGCACCAUGAGAAGAACGCAGGCCAGCGGAGGUAGUGUUAUGAUCUGGGCAAUGUUCUGUUGGUUAAUUUUGGGUCCUGCUAUUCAUGUGUGUCUUACUUUGACAUGUACCACCUACCUAGAGAUUUCUGCAGACACAACUCGAAACUUGGAGGGUUUGAAGGAUCUGUUCUAAUGUCUUGGUGCCAGAAAGAACAGGACACGUUCAGAGGUCUUGUGAAGUCCAUGCCUCGACACAUCGGAGCUGUUUCAAGCCCUGCACUAAAGCCUCUGGCUCUCUGUCGGAAGUAGUGAAGGUAUGGAGUGGCACUCGGCAAACCCAAGGUAAAACGUCAAACCUUUCUAAAGCAGGAUGACUACAACUGGGCACUUUUGGCACCUAACUGUUCCAGUACACUGAAGUGGUUAUGGUGCUUGGAGUGUUUCUUUAACCAAAGAUUAUUCAUUUUAUUUUGUAUUUUUGCAGUUUACUUUCAUGAUUUGUAAUUUUUUC